Molecule: long non-coding RNA, 1428 nt
Filed under: Salmo salar (Atlantic salmon)
Lineage: Eukaryota; Metazoa; Chordata; Actinopteri; Salmoniformes; Salmonidae
Description: lncRNA (ENSSSAG00000109912.1, ENSSSAG00000122105.1)
Source: RNAcentral
GGUAAAACCCUUUCCACAUUGGGUUCUACAUGGAACCCAAAAAGGGUUCUACCUGGAUCCAAAAUGGGUUAUCCUAUGGGGACAGGCGAACAACCCUUUUGGAACCCUUUUCUCUAAGAGUGUAUACAUGGGGGCAUAAUGAUAUCUGCUCUGUAACAAUAGAAAAUGCACUAUCUUGAGUUCAUAUGCAUGACACAUUUAAAAAAUACUAUGCAUAUUAUGCAUAAAACUGACAAAAUGUAAUCAUAAUUUCUAUGGGGUAUUUUUUUAUUUAACCAUUAUUUAACUAGGCAAGUCAGUUAAGAACAAAUUCUUAUUUACCAUGACGGCCUACACCGGCCAAACCCAGACAACGCUGGGCCAAUUGUGCGCCACCCUAUGGGACUCCCAAUCACGGCCAGAUGUGAUUCAGGAUUUGAACCAGGGUUCUGGAUUUGAACCAGUGACUGUGGUGACACCUCCUGCACUGAGAUGCAGUGCCUUAGACCGCUGAACCAGGUACUGUAGUGACACCUCUUGCACUGAGAUGCAGUGCCUUAGACUGCUGAACCAGGUACUGUAGUGACACCUCUUGCACUGAGAUGCAGUGCCUCAGACCACUGAACCAGGUACUGUAGUGACACCUCUUGCACUGAGAUACAGUGCCUCAGACCGCUGAACCAGGUACUGUAGUGACACCUCUUGCACUGAGAUACAGUGCCUCAGACCGCUGAACCAGGUACUGUAGUGACACCUCUUGCACUGAGAUGCAGUGCCUUAGACCGCUGAACCAGGUACUGUAGUGACACCUCUUGCACUGAGAUACAGUGCCUUAGACCGCUGAACCAGGUACUGUAGUGACACCUCUUGCACUGAGAUGCAGUGCCUCAGACCGCUGAACCAGGUACUGUAGUGACACCUCUUGCACUGAGAUACAGUGCCUUAGACCGCUGAACCAGGUACUGUAGUGACACCUCUUGCACUGAGAUGCAGUGCCUCAGACCGCUGCGUCACUCGGGAGCCCAAUAGUGGUUAUUGGAUCAACUUACCCCAAGGAAUACAUUUUGACUAUAUUAGCCUGAUGUAUAAAACAAUCUUAAAAUGAUCUACAUUGGUUUAGAUACAAGCAUCAUAAAACCUGUAACACAAUAUUACUUUUUGAAAAUCAAUUUUUUGCAAGUAACCACUUUUUCCAUAUGGUUUCUUUUCACAGACUCCAUGAAAUGAUCAUCUGUUCCUAAAUAUUUGGUCACAUGACUCAUUUUGUGUAUGGUUUCCUGUGUAUGGUCUCCCCUACAUGUCUGACCAGUAGCCAUUUUACCAACAUGCUGCUUUAUGUUUAAUCAAUCGUCCUUCAUUACAAAAGUCUGUCAUGUCCAACCAAUGUUCCAUUGUUCUCUCUGUUACUUGGCACCUGCAGCUGCUGUUGUCGUACUACUCUGCAGUCUG